UAAAUUUAUGACGAAAUACUUUCGUCGUCAAGUGGAUAUACAAUUACGUCCCACUAACGACGACAGGUACAUGUCGUCGUAAUGUUGCUGUUAAAUUACGACUAAAAAAAAUUAAAAUGUUUGCAUCUAAUUAAUGACUAAAUUACGAGAAAUUAAGAAGGUUGGUGAGCAAAACGUGAUAAAUGUUUGUAUGUAUAGUAGUUAAUUGGUAGUAAACUUUAUGUAGUUGUAAAUGCGUUACAACAUUCGCACCUACCACAUUCAAAAAUUUCUUAUAAAUAUGUUAUACUCUCUCAUUCUAAAGAAGCACAAAAAAAAAACCAAAAACAGAGAAAAAAAUGUCUCAUGGUGGCCAUAUC
Molecule: long non-coding RNA, 359 nt
Filed under: Brassica napus (rape)
Lineage: Eukaryota; Viridiplantae; Streptophyta; Magnoliopsida; Brassicales; Brassicaceae
Description: long non-coding RNA (BNAP_LNC025937)
Source: RNAcentral